This 382-nucleotide ribosomal RNA is filed under the name uncultured soil bacterium. Its description in RNAcentral is "bacterial SSU rRNA". It matches the Rfam family "Bacterial small subunit ribosomal RNA", at positions 26 to 402 of the family's 1533-position model. The record is from RNAcentral.
AGAUUGAACGCUGGCGGCAUGCCUUACACAUGCAAGUCGAACGGCAGCACGGGAGCAAUCCUGGUGGCGAGUGGCGAACGGGUGAGUAAUACAUCGGAACGUGCCCAAUCGUGGGGGAUAACGCAGCGAAAGCUGUGCUAAUACCGCAUAAGAUCUACGGAUGAAAGCAGGGGAUCGACAAGACCUUGCGCGAAUGGAGCGGCCGAUGGCAGAUUAGGUAGUUGGUGAGGUAAAGGCUCACCAAGCCUUCGAUCUGUAGCUGGUCUGAGAGGACGACCAGCCACACGUGGGACUGAGACACGGCCCAGACUCCGUACGGGAGCAGCAGGUGGGGUAAUUUGGACAAGUGGGACGAAAGCCGUGAUCCAGCCAGUCGCCGCGU